Molecule: non-coding RNA, 483 nt
Organism: Sus scrofa (pig)
Lineage: Eukaryota; Metazoa; Chordata; Mammalia; Artiodactyla; Suidae
Source: RefSeq, a predicted model, not a curated record
UUUAAUCUGUUCAUCUGUUGAUGGACAUGUAGGUUGUUUCUAUGUCUUGGCUAUUGUGAAUUGUGCUGCUAUGAACACACAGGUGCCUGGAUCUUUUUGUAUUUUGGUUUUCUCUGGAUAGAAGCCCAGGAUUGGACUGCAGGAUAUAUGGUAGUUCUGGUUUUCAUUUUUAAAGGAACCUCCACGUAGCAAUGUACAUCCCAGCUCAGAGGAGAUGGUGUGUGGGGAAGAGAGAUGGGGAAGCAGGUUAGAGAAGAGAGAUCCAGAAAUGCACGGCCAGGCUCCACCUACUCGUGAUAUCAUACACUAUUUCUUUGUCUGGAAUGAAGUCUGCUUUAAACAUGAUCCUUCCCUGAAGCGAGUUCCUUCUUUCAGCAAGACGGGAGCAGCUUAGCCUCAGGUGAUUCUCACUGCCAGAGCCAUUUCAUUGGUUCAUCAUUAUCACGCUUUUCUCAUUCUCCUUUUAUAAAGUUGUUUUUUUUC